GUGCUCUCUUUGGCAGCACAUAUAUUAAAAUUGGAAGGGUGCAGAGAGGAUUAGUAUAGCCUCUGCACAAGGAUGACAUGCACAUUUGUGAAGCAUUCCAUUUUUUU
Cricetulus griseus (Chinese hamster) is the source of this 107-nucleotide small nuclear RNA. NCBI's taxonomy places the organism in Eukaryota, Metazoa, Chordata, Mammalia, Rodentia, Cricetidae. The record is from Ensembl.